GAAUUUUCCGCAAUGGGCGAAAGCCUGACGGAGUGACGCCGCGUGUGGGACGAAGGCCUUCGGGUCGUAAACCACUGUCAGUGGGAAAGAUGGGUGUCGGCGCUAAUACCGCUGGCAUCUGACGGUACCUGCAGAGGAAGCCCCGGCUAACUCUGUGCCCGCAGCCGCGGUAAUACAGAGGGGGCAAGCGUUGCUCGGAAUCACUGGGCGUAAAGGGCGCGUAGGCGGGAUGGCAAGUCAGUCGUGAAAUCUCUCGGCUCAACCGAGAAACGUCGGCUGAUACUGCCGUUCUUGAGGGAUGCAGAGGAGACUGGAAUUCCCGGUGUAGCGGUGAAAUGUGUAGAGAUCGGGAGGAACACCGGUGGCGAAGGCGGGUCUCUGGGCAUCUCCUGACGCUGAGGCGCGAAAGCGUGGGGAGCAAACGGG
RNAcentral lists this ribosomal RNA (426 nucleotides) under uncultured bacterium. RNAcentral describes it as "bacterial SSU rRNA". It matches the Rfam family "Bacterial small subunit ribosomal RNA", at positions 359 to 776 of the family's 1533-position model. The record is from RNAcentral.